GGGACUGUGGCUCAGAGGUAGAGUGCUCACCUAGCAUGCAUGAAGCCCUGGGUUCGAUUCCUCAGUCCCA
This 70-nucleotide transfer RNA is filed under the name Dipodomys ordii (Ord's kangaroo rat). It matches the Rfam family "tRNA". Rfam says of the family: Transfer RNA (tRNA) molecules are approximately 80 nucleotides in length. Lineage: Eukaryota; Metazoa; Chordata; Mammalia; Rodentia; Heteromyidae. The record is from Rfam by way of RNAcentral.